AUAAAAUGUAUAUGUCGGGAUCGAGGGUAGAAUUGAAACACAGGCGUCCACCCUCGGCGCUCGACGGAGUCAAGGAUUCAUCGGCUGAGCGGCGUGUCGAUCACUUCUCGUGCAGCAGCCGACCAGUGCGGUCGAAUAUUGAACCGUCGUGUGUUUCAAUCGUAUACUGAAUCUGUAACCUGUUAGUUUAAUAUUGUAACAGUUAAUUAUCUUUCAUGUACUUUGUAACCAUGUUUGCACUUUGAGAGUGACUGAGACCUCUGAGUUUGUUUCGGUAUUUCUUCUCAGAGUAGUCGGUAGGAAAUACCGGCCCCAUCAGUAGCUUAAGUAAAGUAACAGUGCAAUGUACAGAAUUAAACAAUAGUUCCAUAUCGAAGACUUAUUAUUUUACUGCUACCUUCGUCAUAACGCCCACAAGUAUUCCUGACAUGAGUAGUGAGAUUCUCCUUUCACCGACAUAUCGAAAGUGAGAGAUCUCCUAUCUCCGACAUCAGAAGUGAGAUGGACCCGGACGAUUGAAGAUGUUGAAAUCAUCGGAGCUGAUUCAUCGAGAACUACUUGCAUUCGACCCCAACAAAGAAGACUGCGAUGCAAGGCUCAGCUUGGAGUGCAUUCAAAUCCAACCCCAGCACAGCACAUCGUCAUCUGGUACACGAGCAACGGCGACAGCGGCAGCGGACCAGGGGACGCGGCGACGGCAGCGGACCAGGGGACGCGGCGACGGCAGCGGACCAGGGGACGCGGCGACGGCAGCGGACCAGGGGACGCGGCGGCAGCGACAGCGGGCCAGGUGACGCAGCGUAAGCGCGGCGUAUGGUGAGAAGCGUAUUGAUGUCUGCAGUUGGACACUGCAUCAUCGGGAAUAUUCAGGUGACCUUGUUCCUUUUAUUAUGAUUCUGAUACCAAAUACUUUAUAGGAUGAAAAUGAGUCAGCGUUUCCAGUUUAGGAUUGUUGAUUUUGCGAUCAGAAGUAUUAUUUUACUUUUGUCGGGUAGUCAUAAUAAAAACUUAGUCGUGAUGUUUUAGAACCGAGAUCAGUUGAAGAGUCAUUAGAAUGACGUCUGUUGGGUAAUGUUAUUCUGUGUUGUAUAUUGUUAGGUUGAGAUUUGUAAUGUGUUAAGCAAGAAUAGAUAGUUCUAAACAAAAUUCAUGACAGUUGUCUAAUCAUCAGGACCGGUGUACUUAGAGCCUAAUGUAGUAAUUCUAGAGAUCGAAACAUUCUGAUUUAUUGUACUGUACCGUGAGGGUUUAUCACAGUCGUUACUGCGACGGGGGCUCGAGUCCAUAACACAAGUCGUAGCUGACUUGUAGUGGCUUGGGAGUCCUUGCGAGUGACUAUCAUGUGGUAACCUUGAAGCGAUCGAUGUUGGUUACUAAUCAUUUAAUUUGAUUUUGAUUGAGGGUACCCAGACAUAAGAUACGUUUCCGAAAGUACAUUUUAGUACGCUGAUAGACUGUUAGGUAGUUAUUCUAAAUUUAGUCGAUCAAGUUGAGUUUGCCUAGUAAAGAAAACCGCGAAGUAACCAGACGCGGCAUUUCAUUUUGAUAUUGCGUCUAGUUUGAAUAGUGUACAGGACCACUAUCAAAAGCCAAUAGUUGAUAUUUUGUUAGUUAACUUCAUUAAACUGGCGCAUAGGUUGUAAUCGUAACUAUGAACCGACAGCACGAUUGGCGCGGUGGCUGCGCAACUGGCUGCCGUGCAUCGUGUAGCGGGUUUGAUUCCCGCACGGAGCAACUCUUUGUGUAGUCCACAAAUUGUUGUUUCGGGUCUGGGUGUCGCGUGUAUGUAAAAUUGUGUGUUUGUAAAGCAUACCCACGACACAGGAGAAAAUCCCAGCGGAGCAUGAUUAUUUUAAUUUUGUAUGUAAGAUAGUAGGUACAUUGAGAAUUAUUUUAAAAGAUGUUACCGACAUUUGUUACCUUUUUACCAUUAUGAGUAUUGUAGUUGUAACUGUGGGUAGACUGGUUGUUUAAGCGGUAGUUCGGCAUUUUAUUUUGAUUGUGCAUCUGAAUUGAAUAGUUUUGAAUAGUUACAGUACAGUUCUGACGAAUAAGGACGAGGAGGAUAUCUGAUCACCAGGUUCCUCGAGAAUUUUGUGAAAUGUAAGAGGUAGAAUUUCCUGUACACAUCGUUACUACUUGUACUCAACACUCAUCAUUCACACUCAUGCCCUAAACACUCGACACUGUGGACCGCACCGCAUGAGUAGUAUGUGGUGAUGGGUCUGGCACAAUGGACCGCGCUCAUGAGGAGCAUGAGGCGAUGGUCAGUGUACACACCGGACCGCGCUCAUGAAGAGCAUGAGGUGAUGGGUCUAUGCACGCACUCACAUUCGGACCGCACACAUGAGGACCAUGUGGUGAUGGGUCUGCACAAACUCGCAUUGAGACCGCACCCGUGAGGAACAUGGCUGUUGGGUCUUCAUUCACAAGCACAUACUCAAACUUACAUCAUGUACACACACACACACUCACAUACAUGUAGGUACUUAAAAAAAAUAUGCCGACGAAUUAAAGUUAAACUGACAUAAUUCAGAUAAAGUAGUUCAAAUAGCAGAUACCUUAGAGGGUAGAUUAUUAGAGUAGUUGAAGGUAGUAGAACCUGUGUUUGAGUUUGCAAGGUGAUCGUAGUUUAAAAGAUGUUUGUUAAUGAGGGUUUCAGUGGAAACCAUGGAGUCUAGCAGAGACUCGGUGUUCCCAUGUGGGGUUCACGUGAGAGAGAAUAACUGUGUGGUACUGAACUGUGCGUAGCCGUGAUCACUUGUAAAGCUUGAAUGCUUUGAGUUACUUGGUAGAAUCAUUAUUUUGCGAGUAACUAUGUUUGUGAAAUAUCAGUUUCACUGGUUUUGAUAUUGAUUUGUUUCGAUACAUAGUAACGAGUUAAGUAACAUUUUUAUGAGGAUGAUGGUUCAAGUUUUAGAAGGUCACGCAUCAGCCGAGAUUGGUUUUGAUGAAGUUAAUGAAGCUCGGUAGAAACUCGGGUAAGGGGACUCUAGAAGCCAUUAUGUGUUUGUGCUGUCUCUAUUCGUUUGUUGUAUGUUUGUGUCCGAUCACCUCAGUAGCGGUCGCGUAUUCGCAACCCGGUCACAAACGGAAUCUCCGAGUGUCGCCUCGAGAGUCCGUUCGGUGCGCGGUACGAGUUUGGCUCUGACGGGGGUCGGCGGCUGUCUGUGUUCGGUAUGUUUGUGUUCGAUCACCUCAGUAGCGGUCACGUAUUCGCAACCCGGUCGCAAACGGAAUCUCCGAGUGUCGCCUCGAGAGUCCGUUCGGUGCGCGAUGCGAGUUUGGCUCUGACGGGGGUCGGCGGUCGUAUGUGUUCGUUUUGUGUUGCCGGAGGGUGACACACGGGAGAUCCGAGGGAUCUGAUCCAUGUGAUGGAUGUCAGCAAUGUGAUUGCUGGUCGGCUUGAGAGCCGGGGCACUGGGUGACUUGCUCGUGGACUCGAGUAAGGGCAUGCUAGGGGCCAUGUGAUGGAAGUCAGCAAUGUGAUUGCUGGUCGGCUAGAGAGCCGGGGCGCACUAGAUGUCUUACUCGGGAGUUUCUAGAGUUGUACUGAGUAGUUUGUAAUUUUUGUUGAUAAGAACGGCUGUGAUGCGUGAACCUAACAGUAUGAUGCUUUUUUUAAUUGUGUGUGGAAUGUGGUCAGGAAUGACCGAGCUAUAUGAUACUUUGCGUGUAAUUUUCUGUCACAGAUGAGCUGUCACACGAGGACGUGUGCAAGCAGGAUGGCCGUGUCGGGAUCGAGGGUAGAAUUGAAACACAGGCGUCCACCCUCGGCGCUCGACGGAGUCAAGGAUUCAUCGGCUGAGCGGCGUGUCGAUCACUUCUCGUGCAGCAGCCGACCAGUGCGGUCGAAUAUUGAACCGUCGUGUGUUUCAACCGUAUACCUAGUCUGUAACCUGUUAGUUUGAUAUUGUAACAGUUAAUUAUCUUUCAUGUACUUUGUAACCAUGUUUGCACUUUGAGAGUGACUGAGACCUCUGAGUUUGUUUCGGUAUUUCUUCUCAGAGUAGUCGGUAGGAAAUACCGGCCCCAUCAGUAGCUUAAGUAAAGUAACAGUGCAAUGUACAGAAUUAAACAAUAGUUCCAUA
Long non-coding RNA from Spodoptera frugiperda (fall armyworm), 4091 nucleotides. RefSeq lists it as uncharacterized. The transcript has 2 exons. The record is from RefSeq and is a predicted model, not a curated record. NCBI's taxonomy places the organism in Eukaryota, Metazoa, Arthropoda, Insecta, Lepidoptera, Noctuidae.